UACGUAGGGUGCGAGCGUUGUCCGGAAUUAUUGGGCGUAAAGAGCUUGUAGGCGGUUUGUCGCGUCUGCUGUGAAAAUCCGAGGCUCGACCUCGGACUUGCAGUGGGUACGGGCAGACUAGAGCGUGGUAGGGGAGACUGGAAUUCCUGGUGUAGCGGUGAAAUGCGCAGAUAUCAGGAGGAACACCGAUGGCGAAGGCAGGUCUCUGGGCCACUACUGACGCUGAGAAGCGAAAGCAUGGGUAGCGAACAGGAUUAGA
RNAcentral lists this ribosomal RNA (259 nucleotides) under uncultured prokaryote. Its description in RNAcentral is "partial 16S ribosomal RNA". It matches the Rfam family "Bacterial small subunit ribosomal RNA", at positions 524 to 782 of the family's 1533-position model. The record is from RNAcentral.